CUUUGAUCCUGUAGAGUGUUUGUGGGUUUAGAAGAGCACAGGUCUGAAGACGGAAGACUUGAGUUUCAGCUCCAUCUCUGCCCUGUGCACCAGCAUGCCCAGAGUGGCAUUAACCCAAAGCCAAUCUGACAAAUGAACAAGUCAUUAUAGUUACUGGUUUCUUUGAUCUAUUUAUAAAAAUGAAUAUUUAUAGCAGAUCCUGUAGGAUGCGGUAGAUUUGGAAGAUUUCUGUGAUGUUUUGUUUGACUAAUGCUUAUUUUCCCUUUUGUAUCAGUAUUUUAACAAAUGCUUUGGAUUUCCUCCACGCAGAGGAGAAUCAGUGUGCAGCUGUUAAUUUUGGCUGCUGGGUCCAGGAUGAGAGAGAGAGAGAGACAGCGUGAGAGCGAGAGAGAGAGCGUGAGAGAGAGAGAAGAGAGGCAGGAGAGGCUGAGCGUGGGAGGGAGACAGACGGCAUCGAUUCAUUAAUAUAUUCAAAACUAUAUUCAAAAACUAUUCAUUUAAAAAUUCUGGAAUAUAUUGACUACAUACUUAAAAAAACUUUUUUGUAAUGGAAAACUUUGAGCAUAGGCAAAAAUAGAAUAAUAGAAAAGCCCGGCAUGCGACAUGCAGUGGCAACAGAGGUCCAUAUGUGGCCAGUCUUGUCUCAUCCUUUUCCCCACCCAUUCACUCCUCUCCCAAAUCCGGAUGGUUUUAAGGUGACUUCAGCCAUCGAAUUCAAUCUGGAAGGCUUGGAGACAGUCAAGAAGUGCAUCACCCAAAUGGCCACCGGUACAGACACUCUAACACCGGCGUGACUGAUUCCAUCACAGAGUUCACCCCAUGCAUGGGAGUUAGGGAUUUUGUGACUUGAUAAGCCUUUUGUCCUCCAUAAAACAGGUGUGACAAAGCCUUCCCAAUUGGCCUCCUGGGCAUGGUGAGAAGAACGGGAGGGCACGAACUGGGAGGAGCUAUUGGAUAGGAGAAAGGGUCAAAGGUGACAUGGCUGCAACUGACCUCCAGCUAAUUCACUGCACCUGCUUCAGGACAAGUUCCAACGCUGGGGGUCAGCCUUGAACACAGGGAAAUGGGGGUGGGGCGCAGGCAUCAGGCCAGGGUGAUGGGCCAAUUCACAUUUGUUAUAAAGGAACAAAAACCAGUGAUUUCCUCUGAGAUACAAUCAAGCAAGUUUCCCACAGCAGCUGAUGUCACAG
Molecule: long non-coding RNA, 1190 nt
Filed under: Papio anubis (olive baboon)
Lineage: Eukaryota; Metazoa; Chordata; Mammalia; Primates; Cercopithecidae
Description: lncRNA (ENSPANG00000047218.1)
Source: RNAcentral